GAUCCUGGCUCAGGAUGAACGCUAGCUACAGGCUUAACACAUGCAAGUCGAGGGCAGCAUUUCAGUUUGCUUGCAAACUGGAGAUGGCGACCGGCGCACGGGUGAGUAACACGUAUCCAACCUGCCGAGUAACUCGGGAUAGCCUUUCGAAAGAAAGAUUAAUACCCGAUGGUAUAAUUAGACCGCGAUGGUCUAAUUAUUAAAGAAUUUCGGUUAUCGAUGGGGAUGCGUUCCAUUAGGCAGG
RNAcentral lists this ribosomal RNA (244 nucleotides) under uncultured bacterium. Its description in RNAcentral is "partial 16S ribosomal RNA". It matches the Rfam family "Bacterial small subunit ribosomal RNA", at positions 15 to 249 of the family's 1533-position model. The record is from RNAcentral.